RNAcentral lists this ribosomal RNA (378 nucleotides) under uncultured bacterium. RNAcentral describes it as "bacterial SSU rRNA". It matches the Rfam family "Bacterial small subunit ribosomal RNA", at positions 28 to 433 of the family's 1533-position model. The record is from RNAcentral.
GAUGAACGCUGGCGGUAUGCUUAACACAUGCAAGUCGAACGGGAUAUCUUCGGAUAUUUAGUGGCGGACGGGUGAGUAACGCGUGAGAACAUGCCCUUAGGUUCGGGACAACAGUUGGAAACGACUGCUAAUACCGAAUGUGCCGAGAGGUGAAAGAUUAAUUGCCUAGGGAUUGGCUCGCGUCAGAUUAGCUAGUUGGUAGAGUAACGGUUUACCAAGGCGACGAUCUGAACUGGUCUGAGAGGAUGACCAGUCACACUGGGACUGAGACACGGCCCAGACUCCUACGGGAGGCAGCAGUGGGAAUUUCCGCAAUGGCGAAAGCCGUNACGGAGCAAUAACCGCGUGAGGGAGGACGGCUCUUGGGUUGUAAACCUC